Molecule: ribosomal RNA, 294 nt
Filed under: Escherichia coli
Lineage: Bacteria; Pseudomonadati; Pseudomonadota; Gammaproteobacteria; Enterobacterales; Enterobacteriaceae
Description: partial 23S ribosomal RNA
Rfam family: Bacterial large subunit ribosomal RNA
Source: RNAcentral
GAAGGUGUGCUGUGAGGCAUGCUGGAGGUAUCAGAAGUGCGAAUGCUGACAUAAGUAACGAUAAAGCGGGUGAAAAGCCCGCUCGCCGGAAGACCAAGGGUUCCUGUCCAACGUUAAUCGGGGCAGGGUGAGUCGACCCCUAAGGCGAGGCCGAAAGGCGUAGUCGAUGGGAAACAGGUUAAUAUUCCUGUACUUGGUGUUACUGCGAAGGGGGGACGGAGAAGGCUAUGUUGGCCGGGCGACGGUUGUCCCGGUUUAAGCGUGUAGGCUGGUUUUCCAGGCAAAUCCGGAAAA